GGAGAGGUGCUUGAGCUUGGUUAAAAAGGCGCGACUGGAAAUCGCGUGUACGGAAUCGUUUUUCGUACCGAGGGUUCAAAUCCCUCCCUCUCCG
RNAcentral lists this transfer RNA (94 nucleotides) under Coxiella endosymbiont of Amblyomma americanum. Its description in RNAcentral is "tRNA-Ser (GGA) (tRNA-Ser-GGA-1-1)". It matches the Rfam family "tRNA". Rfam says of the family: Transfer RNA (tRNA) molecules are approximately 80 nucleotides in length. Their secondary structure includes four short double-helical elements and three loops (D, anti-codon, and T loops). RNAcentral also lists the same sequence under 1 other name. The record is from Rfam by way of RNAcentral. Lineage: Bacteria; Pseudomonadati; Pseudomonadota; Gammaproteobacteria; Legionellales; Coxiellaceae.